RNAcentral lists this unclassified non-coding RNA (380 nucleotides) under uncultured Gammaproteobacteria bacterium. RNAcentral's name for it is "contains 16S-23S intergenic spacer region". The record is from RNAcentral. Lineage: Bacteria; Pseudomonadati; Pseudomonadota; Gammaproteobacteria.
UCUCCGCUUGCGCGGGCAGUCUCUCUAGAGUCCCCACCAUUACGUGCUGGCAACUAAAGAUAAGGGUUGCGCUCGUUGCGGGACUUAACCCAACAUCUCACGACACGAGCUGACGACAGCCAUGCAGCACCUGUGUCCACUUUCCCUUUCGGGCACCUAAUGCAUCUCUGCUUCGUUAGUGGCAUGUCAAGGGUAGGUAAGGUUAUUCGCGUUGCAUCGAAUUAAUCCACAUCAUCCACCGCUUGUGCGGGUCCCCGUCAAUUCCUUUGAGUUUUAAUCUUGCGACCGUACUCCCCAGGCGGUCAACUUCACGCGUUAGCUGCGGUACUGAGAAAUCGCUUCCCCAACACCUAGUUGACAUCGUUUAGGGCGUGGACUAC